GACGAACGCUGGCGGCGUGCUUAAACACAUGCAAAGUCGAACGAUGAAGCCCUUUCGGGGGUGGAUUAGUGGCGAACGGGUGAGUAACACGUGGGUAACCUGCCCUGUACCCUGGGAUAAAGCCUUGGAAACGAGGUCUAAUACCGGAUAUGACCUGCUCUCGCAGUGGGGGGUGGGUGGAAAGUUUUGGCGGUGCAGGAUGGACCCGCGGCCUAUCAGCUUGGUUGGUGGGGUGAUGGCCUACCAAGGCGACGACGGGUAGCCGGCCUGAGAGGGCGACCGGCCACACUGGGACUGAGACACGGCCCAGACUCCUACGGGAGGCAGCAGUGGGGAAUAUUGCACAAUGGGCGAAAAGCCUGAUGCAGCGACGCCGCGUGAGGGAUGACGGCC
This 393-nucleotide ribosomal RNA is filed under the name uncultured bacterium. Its description in RNAcentral is "bacterial SSU rRNA". It matches the Rfam family "Bacterial small subunit ribosomal RNA", at positions 28 to 416 of the family's 1533-position model. The record is from RNAcentral.